UCCAUUUAUUUAAAUUGUUCCAGGAGUACAGUAGCAUGGUUUGUAGAGGACAUAUGAAAUGUGGGUUCCUUCCCAGAAAAUGUCUUAAGACUUUGUCAUAUAUGAUGAAAUUUGAUAGUUUUGUACUUCCCAAACACACACUUGACCUAUGCUUUCACAAUGAAAUGACACAUCAUUCCCACCCAUAUUCCUAAGAACGAUUCCUCCAUUUACGGUAUGUCAUUAACAAAGUCCCAAGCAGGCCAAAGCAUGGACAGAGUGGCUUUAUACGUCAAAUUAAAUGGCUUAUUCACCAAUAAAUACAAGAAUAAAAAAACAAACACUUGAUAAUUAUUCUCAUUAUCACAAACAUUUUAAUUUUAUUGAUCAUAAAAGAUAGCAAAGGCACUCCACUUAAACUACCUUGGCAGUCCAUGUUCACCAGUUGAUACCAAAAAAAUCAUAACCUUGGCAAUAGCCAAUGAAAUAAUGAGCCAUAACAAAAUAAUAAUUAAAUAACAAUAAUACUAUUAUUAUUAUUAUUAUUGUCUUAAUAACAAUAUCCAGUCAAGUUUUCCUAUGAUCAGAGUUUCUGCUACUAACUAACGGAUAUGCAUCAGUUAUUUCCAGUUUGGCAGAUUGAGAGAUUAAUCAGAUUCUUUCCAUUGUUUUCUCCUGAUGUCAUUCCUUAGUUUAGGACAUCCCCUUUUUGGUAGUGAUGGACUCAGACUACGACUUCUACGGUCAAACCAGGAGUUUAUCCCUGUGUUGCUGAUGUGUCAGUAUUUUAGAGAAAGAUGUCUCAUAAUGAAAAGCCAAGGAUCUUCCCUUUGGAUUGUGUCAAUUGGCAUCUCUUUCUUUGAAAGGGGUCUGGUUUAAAAUCAAGGCCAUGACCUCUGAGGUUCACUAGGCUGUAUUAAUCAGUUCACAGGGACAAACUAUCUGACUGCACCAUGGCUGAACCUAGGUCAGUUGCUCUGACUCCUCAGGUGUACCAAACCAGAGGAAGCACUCAGAUUCCACUGACUUCAGAUCAGACCUCUCAUCUCUUAGAACCAAACUCAGGGAAGAAAUACUUUCUGCCAUAACAUAAAGCAAUAUAAAGUUUCUAUAUUUUGGAGAAUCAAAAACAGAAGCGUAAUAAACAAAAUACUAACAUAG
Molecule: long non-coding RNA, 1140 nt
Organism: Esox lucius (northern pike)
Lineage: Eukaryota; Metazoa; Chordata; Actinopteri; Esociformes; Esocidae
Source: Ensembl